This 253-nucleotide ribosomal RNA is filed under the name uncultured bacterium. RNAcentral's name for it is "partial 16S ribosomal RNA". It matches the Rfam family "Bacterial small subunit ribosomal RNA", at positions 524 to 776 of the family's 1533-position model. The record is from RNAcentral.
GACGUAGGGUGCAAGCGUUGUCCGGAUUUAUUGGGCGUAAAGAGCUCGUAGGCGGCUCGUUGCGUCGACUGUGAAAACCUGGGGCUUAACCCUGGGCUUGCAGUCGAUACGGGCGGGCUAGAGUUCGGUAGGGGAGACUGGAAUUCCUGGUGUAGCGGUGAAAUGCGUAGAUAUUGGAAAGAACACCGAUGGCGAAGGCACUUUACUGGGCUAUUACUAACACUCAGAGACGAAAGCUAGGGUAGCAAAUGGG